GGGGAAGUAACUUAGCGGUUUAUAGUAUUGGUCUGUCACGCCAAAAGUCGCGGGUUCAAAUCCCGUCUUUCCCG
Molecule: transfer RNA, 74 nt
Filed under: Glaucocystis nostochinearum
Lineage: Eukaryota; Glaucocystophyceae; Glaucocystales; Glaucocystaceae
Description: tRNA-Asp
Rfam family: tRNA
About the family: Transfer RNA (tRNA) molecules are approximately 80 nucleotides in length. Their secondary structure includes four short double-helical elements and three loops (D, anti-codon, and T loops).
Source: RNAcentral